Long non-coding RNA from Hippocampus comes (tiger tail seahorse), 600 nucleotides. RefSeq lists it as uncharacterized. The transcript is spliced from 3 exons. Lineage: Eukaryota; Metazoa; Chordata; Actinopteri; Syngnathiformes; Syngnathidae. The record is from RefSeq and is a predicted model, not a curated record.
UCAUCGAGUGGGAGGGGGCGGAGGAGACACACUCAAAAGAGAGCACGCACGAGCCACGAUGGAGGAAAGAGAAAAGCUCAGUUCAUACAAAAAGGUACCAGUGAUGACAAGAGGAAACGUGCAAUGAUAACCAUCCAACUGAAAAGCAACUUAACGGCGAUCAAAGUUAAGGUGAUGGUGGAGAUAAAUAUGACGACAACCACAGAACCGGAUAUGGAACUUAUUGCGACGUAGCCGCAAGUGCAGCUCCGGAAGUGCUCGGCACCAAAAGUCAACAGUGAAUUGAAAAUAAUACAACAAAAUGGACGGCACACUGUCAAGUCGGGGGCAUUGAUGGGAGGUGGCUUAUUCUUUGCAACAUUUAUGGUAGAUGUUUUCAAUGUUGGUCAAGGUUUUUUUUUUUUUAAACAUUUGUAUGACAGUAAAGAAUGUUUGAUUUAUGAUUUAAACAGUGUGUUUGAAUAUAAAAGCAGUGUGGCAAAACUUUUCAUGUAGGUCCCUCCAUUUGAUGAAACUCAACUAUGAAACAAAGCAUCUCACUUGGCAGAGGUUGGCCGCAUUGCGGGAGGAGGGCGGCGGUGGGGGGACAAACGGUUGUGG